Molecule: ribosomal RNA, 373 nt
Filed under: uncultured bacterium
Lineage: Bacteria
Description: bacterial SSU rRNA
Rfam family: Bacterial small subunit ribosomal RNA
Source: RNAcentral
ACGUAGGGGGCAAGCGUUGUCCGGAUUUAUUGGGCGUAAAGAGCGUGUAGGCGGCCAGGUAGGUCGGUUGUGAAAACUAGAGGCUCAACCUCUAGACGUCGACCGAAACCAUCUGGCUAGAGUCCGGAAGAGGAGAGUGGAAUUCCUGGUGUAGCGGUGAAAUGCGCAGAUAUCAGGAAGAACACCGAUGGCGAAGGCAGCUCUCUGGGACGGUACUGACGCUGAGACGCGAAAGCGUGGGGAGCAAACAGGAUUAGAUACCCUGGUAGUCCACGCCGUAAACGAUGGGUGCUAGGUGUGGGAGGUGUCGACUCCUCCCGUGCCGCAGCUAACGCAUUAAGCACCCCGCCUGGGGAGUACGGCCGCAAGGCUA